This 324-nucleotide ribosomal RNA is filed under the name uncultured bacterium. Its description in RNAcentral is "bacterial SSU rRNA". It matches the Rfam family "Bacterial small subunit ribosomal RNA", at positions 259 to 580 of the family's 1533-position model. The record is from RNAcentral.
AACGGCCCACCAAACCUACGAUGGAUAGGGGUUCUGAGAGGAAGGUCCCCCACAUUGGAACUGAGACACGGUCCAAACUCCUACGGGAGGCAGCAGUGAGGAAUAUUGGUCAAUGGACGAGAGUCUGAACCAGCCAAGUAGCGUGAAGGAUGACUGCCCUAUGGGUUGUAAACUUCUUUUAUACGGGAAUAAAGUGAGCCACGUGUGGCUUUUUGUAUGUACCGUAUGAAUAAGGAUCGGCUAACUCCGUGCCAGCAGCCGCGGUAAUACGGAGGAUCCGAGCGUUAUCCGGAUUUAUUGGGUUUAAAGGGAGCGUAGGCGGGU